This 217-nucleotide non-coding RNA is filed under the name Bacillus sp. CECT 9360. Its description in RNAcentral is "T-box". It matches the Rfam family "T-box leader". From Rfam's summary of the family: Uncharged tRNA acts as the effector for transcription antitermination of genes in the T-box leader family. The record is from RNAcentral. Lineage: Bacteria; Bacillati; Bacillota; Bacilli; Caryophanales; Bacillaceae.
UAAAAGGCUAUGACAGGAUUCAGUAGUGACUCUAUCACUGUUUUUAGAGAGCCGGUGGCAGGUGGAAACCGGUAUAUAUAGAGAAGCGAAUUACCUCCUCGAGCAUUUGCUGUGAACUUAGUAGCGGCAAACGGCAGCGACCGUUAUCGUUUUAAGCGGAGGGCGUGUUUGAUGUGUCCUCAAGUUGGGUGGUACCGCGAAUUCAUUCGUCCCUUCA